GUGAUGAAGAGCUUGAUUCUGGCUCAGAAUGAACGUUGGCGGCGUGCCUAACACAUGCAAGUCGAGCGUGAAAGUCCUUCGGGAUGAGUAAAGCGGCGGACGGGUGAGUAACGCGUGAGAAUCUACCCUUUAGUGAGGAAUACCUUUGAGAAAUCGAAGUUAAUACUGCAUACGUCUCGAAAGAGAGAAAGAUGGCCUAAUUGCUGUCGCUGAAGGAUGAGCUUGCGUUCUAUUAGCUAGUUGGUGAGGUAAAGGCUCACCAAGGCGAUGAUGGAUAACCGGCCUGAGAGGGUGUACGGUCACAUUGGAACUUAGACACGGUCCAAACUCCUACGG
RNAcentral lists this ribosomal RNA (336 nucleotides) under Candidatus Babeliales bacterium. RNAcentral describes it as "bacterial SSU rRNA". It matches the Rfam family "Bacterial small subunit ribosomal RNA", at positions 1 to 344 of the family's 1533-position model. Lineage: Bacteria; Candidatus Babeliae; Candidatus Babeliales. The record is from RNAcentral.